Harpegnathos saltator (Jerdon's jumping ant) is the source of this 724-nucleotide long non-coding RNA. RefSeq lists it as uncharacterized. The record is from RefSeq and is a predicted model, not a curated record. Lineage: Eukaryota; Metazoa; Arthropoda; Insecta; Hymenoptera; Formicidae. The transcript has 3 exons.
AUGUCCCGAGCCGAGCUAUGAUCGAAGCGAUCAAACAAUUCGACAUCGAAAGAAGGGAAGGUGUGAACAUGAGAAUAGGUGUGCAUACAGGCACCGUGCUCUGCGGAAUCGUGGGUACGAAAAGAUUCAAGUUCAAUGUUUGGUCGAACGAUGUGACAUUGGCGAAUAAACUUGAGAGCGGGAAACGGGAAAACCCGGUCGUGUACACUUGAGUGAGAAUACCCUGAGAUUUCUGGACGACCAGUACAUCACAGAGGGAGAACUAGUCAAUGGCGUUAAAACUUAUUUCAUCCGAGUCUGCAAAUCGGACUUCAUGAAUCAAUUUAUCACGAACGUUACGUCACCGAAAAGUAUCUCACCGUUGAUGCAGUCACGUAGCCGUCUGGCGUCGUGCAAUACUCAGGUUAAGCCACGCCAUCAUUAUCUUCACAUGGUCAUCAACACGAGCAACUAUCGGAUGAAAGCCAAUUCCUUGUCGAGUAUCUUGGAUUCAGAGAAUGGCGGCGACACUAUAGACGAAAAAGAGGAUUCUAACAAGAGCCCGACGUCCACCGCUAGUUAUGGCAAGAAGAAGUACGAAACGGAAGAAAGAAAGUACGAAACAAAUCGUGGAAGUACUUGCAGAGGCAACGGACGACCGAGGAGAUGAUACCGCUGGAGAUAGAGGAGGGGAGAAACAUCGCCAUGGGACGAGCGAAACCUGAAGUCCAGGCGUAUGAGGAGU